AAUACAGGUUUAUUUAGGGGGACAAUAAACAUCUCCGGCCCCAUAUGAGAUCUCCGACAACCUCUUUGGAGACUUCCGGUGAAGUACCAUAGAUCUAUUUGGGAGCAAUAAAUCUUUCCGACGACCUAUGAGAUCUCCGAUGACCUCUUUAGGGACCUCCGGCGAGGUUUUCAAAAAAGUCCGGUGAACGGAGAGCGGUGACCGAAAUCCGGCUGCCGAUGACUGGACUCCGGCGAUCACUUGAAUAAUCAAUCGUUCAUACAAUGUCUAUGGAAACUGUUGUGGAGGUACCUAAUGUCUCAUGGGAUGCUAUUGGUGAAUUGGACAAUGUCAAAAGAGAACUUCAAGAGCGGCGACCCCAUCUUUUUCAACCUAUACCCAAUUUUGUUCAAUUCUGUUUCAAUUUGAGACUGGGGCGGAGCUGGCCUUGCUGAUGCUAAUGUGAACUGGGAGAAUGUGACAGGUUCGUUUUCUGUGUACAUGCUUGGAAUAAAAUAAAACAUGAUUGCUUUAGGCCAGUUUGAGUUUUCUGUUGAUUUGAGAACUAGUACAUUAGAGUUAAGGCAAGAAGUUUAUGAUAUUUGUGUGAUUGUGUUACUCUAUAUGGUGUUUAGGAUAAAAAUUCAAUCUUGGGCUACAAAUGCUCAACUUGGUUGAUUACAGCGGCUAUGGCUGGUUUCUUCUUAUGAAUAUUGGCUAAAGGCCUUAAGCAUUUUUAGUGGAGAAAUAAGUGAAUGGUGCACUUCAGCAAGUCAGAGGGCAAAACAUUUAGGGGAAAAAGAGAGCAAACAGAAGAGGGAAAAAAACAAAAAACAAAAAAAAGGGAGAAGAGAACAGGGGAAGAAGGGGACAAAGAAGAGAUUUAGAGGAAGAAAGAAAAGGGGAGGGAGGAAGAAACAGAAGAAAUGAAAACAAGUGGCUCUCCAUCUCGGUAUUUGAUUUUAUGUUCGGCAAAUCAUGUAUUGGAAUUGGAUUUAUCAUACUAUCUGGUAGAGGCCAGGGCUACACAAAAUUCUCGACCUUGGCGUAAUGAGCAUGGGGUAUAGGAAGGAGCGUAGUGCUUAUUAAAUGUGUUUUUUGUUUUUGGAUUUUUUUUUUUUUUGCUGUUAUGGACAUUGUUUGAUGACUCGAUUUGUAUG
Long non-coding RNA from Rosa rugosa (rugosa rose), 1139 nucleotides. RefSeq lists it as uncharacterized. The transcript is spliced from 4 exons. The record is from RefSeq and is a predicted model, not a curated record. NCBI's taxonomy places the organism in Eukaryota, Viridiplantae, Streptophyta, Magnoliopsida, Rosales, Rosaceae.